CUCGGUGGUGAUAGCAACGGAGAUACACCCGUUCCCAUUCCGAACACGGAAGUUAAGCCCGUUUGCGCCGAUGGUACUUGGGGGGAGACCCCCUGGGAGAGUAGGUCACCGCCGGUU
Molecule: ribosomal RNA, 117 nt
Filed under: Acidimicrobiaceae bacterium
Lineage: Bacteria; Bacillati; Actinomycetota; Acidimicrobiia; Acidimicrobiales; Acidimicrobiaceae
Also listed under: 2 other names
Source: RNAcentral